GUAGUUCAGGUUGGCCUUGAACUCACUAUGUAGUCCAGGCUGGCCUUGAACUCAAAAAUCCUCCUGCCUCAGCCUCCCAAGUGCUGAGAUUACAGACAUGUGCCACCAUGGCUC
Molecule: microRNA precursor, 114 nt
Filed under: Octodon degus (degu)
Lineage: Eukaryota; Metazoa; Chordata; Mammalia; Rodentia; Octodontidae
Description: miRNA (ENSODEG00000021991.1)
Source: RNAcentral